This 445-nucleotide long non-coding RNA is filed under the name Homo sapiens (human). RNAcentral's name for it is "HSALNT0368168". Lineage: Eukaryota; Metazoa; Chordata; Mammalia; Primates; Hominidae. The record is from RNAcentral.
CUCCAUGGUCUUCUUCCGCUCUUCCCGCUGCUCCUCCCAGUCCUCGUCAGGCUCACUCAGGCUCAGGGAGUUGGGGAAGAGCAGGUAGAAGUAAAGGAUGGCAGCCAGGACCGCCCCCACGAUGGGCCCUACCCAGAAAACCUGGUGGAGACAGGGCAGGAGUCAGGGCGCUGAGCCCCAGACCUUGAAGACCACAUGCCCCCCACCCCACAGAGGACAGACCCACGGACCCUGAGAGGAGACAGACAUGCAGACUUCCAGACCUUCAGGGAGAAAGACUUCCUCCCACCUCGGGGACGAAUAUACUGACACACCACUCCCAGGGACAGAGACAUGGACCACAGACACCUAGACCCUCAAAGAAGGCAAACAGAUUCCCAGAGGGACAGGCUCCCUCCAACCACACCGGAAAGAGAAGCAAAUAAACCUUCAGAGGGGACACGUG